This 918-nucleotide ribosomal RNA is filed under the name Staphylococcus aureus. RNAcentral's name for it is "partial 23S ribosomal RNA". It matches the Rfam family "Bacterial large subunit ribosomal RNA", at positions 328 to 1253 of the family's 2925-position model. Lineage: Bacteria; Bacillati; Bacillota; Bacilli; Caryophanales; Staphylococcaceae. The record is from RNAcentral.
AUUAGACGAAUCAUCUGGAAAGAUGAAUCAAAGAAGGUAAUAAUCCUGUAGUCGAAAAUGUUGUCUCUCUUGAGUGGAUCCUGAGUACGACGGAGCACGUGAAAUUCCGUCGGAAUCUGGGAGGACCAUCUCCUAAGGCUAAAUACUCUCUAGUGACCGAUAGUGAACCAGUACCGUGAGGGAAAGGUGAAAAGCACCCCGGAAGGGGAGUGAAAUAGAACCUGAAACCGUGUGCUUACAAGUAGUCAGAGCCCGUUAAUGGGUGAUGGCGUGCCUUUUGUAGAAUGAACCGGCGAGUUACGAUUUGAUGCAAGGUUAAGCAGUAAAUGUGGAGCCGUAGCGAAAGCGAGUCUGAAUAGGGCGUUUAGUAUUUGGUCGUAGACCCGAAACCAGGUGAUCUACCCUUGGUCAGGUUGAAGUUCAGGUAACACUGAAUGGAGGACCGAACCGACUUACGUUGAAAAGUGAGCGGAUGAACUGAGGGUAGCGGAGAAAUUCCAAUCGAACCUGGAGAUAGCUGGUUCUCUCCGAAAUAGCUUUAGGGCUAGCCUCAAGUGAUGAUUAUUGGAGGUAGAGCACUGUUUGGACGAGGGGCCCCUCUCGGGUUACCGAAUUCAGACAAACUCCGAAUGCCAAUUAAUUUAACUUGGGAGUCAGAACAUGGGUGAUAAGGUCCGUGUUCGAAAGGGAAACAGCCCAGACCACCAGCUAAGGUCCCAAAAUAUAUGUUAAGUGGAAAAGGAUGUGGCGUUGCCCAGACAACUAGGAUGUUGGCUUAGAAGCAGCCAUCAUUUAAAGAGUGCGUAAUAGCUCACUAGUCGAGUGACACUGCGCCGAAAAUGUACCGGGGCUAAACAUAUUACCGAAGCUGUGGAUUGUCCUUUGGACAAUGGUAGGAGAGCGUUCUAAGGGCGUUGA